RNAcentral lists this long non-coding RNA (246 nucleotides) under Homo sapiens (human). RNAcentral's name for it is "non-protein coding lnc-COMMD1-5:1". The record is from RNAcentral. Lineage: Eukaryota; Metazoa; Chordata; Mammalia; Primates; Hominidae.
AUGCUCAUUGAUGUCCUUCAUCCCGGGAAGGCAACAGUGCCUAAGACAGAAAUUCAGAAAAAACUAGCCAAAAUGUAUAAGACCACACUGGAUGUCAUCUUUGUAUUUGCAUUCAGAACUCAUGCUGGUGGUGGCUUUGGCAUGAUUUAUGAUUCCUUGGAUUAUGUAAAGUAAAAUGAACCCAAACAUACCAAACAUAGACUUGCAAGACAUGGCCUGUAUGAGAAGAAAAAGACCUCAAGAAAG